Molecule: ribosomal RNA, 903 nt
Filed under: uncultured marine bacterium
Lineage: Bacteria
Description: bacterial SSU rRNA
Rfam family: Bacterial small subunit ribosomal RNA
Source: RNAcentral
AUGCAAGUCGAACGAAGUAGCAAUACUUAGUGGCAGACGGGUGAGUAACAUGUGGGUAUCUUCCCUUUGGUGAGGAAUAACACGAGGAAACUUGUGCUAAUACCUCAUAAGUCUUUACGGAGAAAGCUUUAUGCGCCAUUGGAUGAGCCCGCACUUGAUUAGUUUGUAGGUGGGGUAAUGGCCUACCAAGACUUUGAUCAAUAGCUGAUUUGAGAGGAUGAUCAGCCACAUUGGGACUGAGACACGGCCCAAACUCCUACGGGAGGCAGCAGUAGGGAAUCUUGCACAAUGGAGGAAACUAUGAUGCAGCGAUGCCGCGUGAGUGAAGAAGGCCCUUGGGUUGUAAAGCUCUUUCGUCGGGGAAGAAAAUGACUGUACCCGAAUAAGAAGGUCCGGCUAACUUCGUGCCAGCAGCCGCGGUAAUACGAAGGGACCUAGCGUAGUUCGGAAUUACUGGGCUUAAAGAGUUCGUAGGUGGUUAAAAAAGUUGGUGGUGAAAGCCCAGAGCUUAACUCUGGAACUGCCAUCAAAACUUUUUAGCUAGAGUAUGAUAGAGGAGAGCAGAAUUUCUAGUGUAGAGGUGAAAUUCGUAGAUAUUAGAAAGAAUACCAAUUGCGAAGGCAGCUUUCUGGAUCAUUACUGACACUGAGGAACGAAAGCAUGGGUAGCGAAGAGGAUUAGAUACCCUCGUAGUCCAUGCCGUAAACGAUGUGUGUUAGAUGUUGGAAAUUUAUUUUCAGUAUCGCAGCGAAAGCGAUAAACACACCGCCUGGGGAGUACGACCGCAAGGUUAAAACUCAAAUGAAUUGACGGGGACCCGCACAAGUAGUGGAGCAUGUGGUUUAAUUCGAAGAUACGCGCAGAACCUUACCAACACUUGACAUGUUCGUCGCGACUCUAAGA